This 1413-nucleotide long non-coding RNA is filed under the name Mytilus galloprovincialis (Mediterranean mussel). The record is from RNAcentral. Lineage: Eukaryota; Metazoa; Mollusca; Bivalvia; Mytilida; Mytilidae.
GUUCAAACAGAGAUUUGAAAGCAGAGAAAACUGUGUAUCUUAUAAUCGACAUAACUUUAUCAGAUGACAAUAUCAAUUUCUAAAACAAGGCUUAAAUAUAUAUACCUUAAUUCAGUCACGGACCUGCGAUAUCACGGGUGUGUACUUGUAAUACUAAUAACGACGAUAAGAACCGUUAAGCGAUGAUGUCCGUUUAUUACUUUUAUAAUUAUCUUCUGUUAUCUGGACAACCUUAUUAGACGUUAUAUUAUGCAAUGCUUUAUGAACAAUGUGUUUAUCCUAAUUGUCUGACUUUGUUAUAUUUCGAAAAUGUACCAUUCUAACAAAAGUUUGAAACACUCUACAAAACGUUUCAGCUUUAAAUAUAGUACGUAUUUACAUUAUAUUACAUAUAUAUACUGAGUGCCAAUGAAAACGCAACACUUUUGUUUUUCCAAAAAAUCUUAUCACUUUUAUUUUAUUUAUAUUAGAACUUUGUAUAGUUGGUUGAAAAUGACUUUUAAGACAAUUGUCGACAAUUUUACGGUUGAGUGAUUUUGGAAGAAAUACGAAGUAAGGGUUAUUUUGAACGGACAUAAACCGUGUUCACCGCUUUUCAACAUACGCACCAUUUUCACGAUUUUGUUAUUUAAAGCUUGGCUAAUGUCAUGAAUUUUCCCGCCCUUAUUGUAAAGAAACUGCAAUAAACAUCUGAGUAAAUGCCAGGACUUUCUGACAACCAGCGACAUGCAGUUUUUGGCAUGAUCCAAUGAAGCCUUUCACAGCAUACAAUUACGAGAAGACUGAAGUUGUACCAUCUACAAUACCCAAAUCAUCCACAAAUUCGACCAAAAUGGAUCAUUUAAUGAUAAGCCACAUCCCUGGAUACAAAAAGCAAGAAACGCUCACCAAGACCGAUACAUUUGGUCUUUAGCAUAUCCGAUAUCGACUCUGAUGGCUGUUCAAAGGUCACGAGAGUUCAAUGGUGGUCACGGUAGAACCUUUGGAGCAAUUUCAGUAAAGCACCAUUUGCGCAGAAAUUGUUAAAGAGCACCACAGUCUUUCCUAAGUGCCAUCUAAACGGCCAUCUGGCGUAAACAUCGAAUUCUGUAGACCGAAAAUCAUUCAAUAUGUACCAAAAACCGUCAGUUGUGGUUACAUAGACAUUUAGCACCCGACUUUUCGCCGGAUUGUGGUCCUAUGGAGCCAUUUUUGCAUCAGAUUUGACAUGGUUUAGACGAUGAAAACCACCACCAAUAUCAAAAAGUCAGCUGAGUUUGCUUUACAGAACAUUCAUCGGGAUCACGUUAAACGUCCAGGAUUAUCAUUCCACGGCGUUGUCGAGAUUGCGCUGCACCACGGGGUUGUAACAUUUUUUUAUUAGGACUGUGAUUUGAUGAUUCGACAUUGGAUGUUUUGUAAACCUAUCGCGCA